This 665-nucleotide long non-coding RNA is filed under the name Ananas comosus (pineapple). Its description in RNAcentral is "long non-coding RNA (ACOM_LNC006365)". The record is from RNAcentral. Lineage: Eukaryota; Viridiplantae; Streptophyta; Magnoliopsida; Poales; Bromeliaceae.
CGUUCAAUGACUCAAUCUCUCUUUCCUCUCGACUGCAGUACCAAAUCAUGGGUCCAAAAAUAUUUAAUUCUAAAAUUAUUAUUAUUAUUAUUAUAUAAUAUAUAUAUAGAGUUAGGCCUCUAUGCUUUCGAAAGUACGGAGACCUCCGUACUUGUAAGUUGUUUUCGAUAAUGGGACGUUCGAUUCAACGAUCGAUUCCGUUAAACAUGAUCUGCACUAUUAGAACUAUUUAGAAACCAAAUUUCAUAAUUUUUUGACUUCGUUUGCCUAGUGAACAAGUAUCUUCAAAAUGAACGGCUGAAAAUAAAAAUCACAUAAAAAACAGUGAUAAAGAACUCAAAUUUCAAAUCGGAAGUAUUGUUCUUACUCUUAAUGUUAAGUAGAAUUUUCUAUUAAAAUUUCAUAUAAUUUGGAUACUUCUACACUGUUGAACUUAAAAAUGUGCUACAUCGGCCGUUAAAAUAGUCAUUUUUGAGACCUUAUGAUCGCUUAGUAAAUGAUGUCAAAAAAUUAUAAAAUUUGGUUUCUAAAUCGUUCCAAUAGCAUAGAUUAUGUCUAACGGAGCCGAUCGUCGAAUCGGAUGCCCUUUCAUCGGAAACAACUUACAAGUACGGAAGCCUCCGUACUUUCGAAAGCACAGAAGACGUACUAUAUAUAUAUAUAUA